Molecule: long non-coding RNA, 5096 nt
Filed under: Triticum aestivum (bread wheat)
Lineage: Eukaryota; Viridiplantae; Streptophyta; Magnoliopsida; Poales; Poaceae
Description: long non-coding RNA (TAES_LNC028348)
Source: RNAcentral
CCGCCACAUAGCCAGUAGCCGGCUUCAUCAUCUUCUCGAGAGCCUUAUGAAUGCCUUGUUAAUAGGUUCUUCCCACCAUUUGGCAGACUCCUGCCUUUGCUUUAUCUGCAAUAAUACCGUGAACCAUUUAGAAACAAACUUACUUCAAAAAAUCUACUUAAUUAGAUCAAAUAAAAUAAAGUGGGUUGAUUACCUGCUACAUGUGUUAGAAAUUAAUAUGUGAUUUUGUCAUUUUUCUGUAGCUCGCAUAAAAACGUAUUUCAUCAUGGAACUUCACAGAGAAGUAGGAUACAUCCAUAUGUAUAUGUGUAAUUGUUUUCAGAAUUUUUUGAAACUUAAAUAUUUGAAUUUCCAUUGGGCAUUUCCGGUGACUAGGUCGUGCAGCCAAGCUAUCUCAAGGACUACCUAAACGCAGAGCACGCAGCGCACACAUUAGACCGUGCCCUCGUACGGCUACAAAGCUAACUGAACAAAACGAACAAGGAGAAACUAAAUAAAGAUAGUUCUCAAGAAGCAAAACAUUCAGCCCUUGAUCCGGUGGACCAGCAUUAACUAAACAAAUACUCCCUCCGUUCAUUUUUAUAAGACGUUUUAGACAUUUAAGACAGCACCUAAAACAAUUCAACUUCAACUGUCUUAAACGACUUACAAAAAUGAACAGAGGGAGUAAUAAUCAUUAGAUUUUCACAACUGUACCAAAACAGUACUAAUUAUUGUGAUUCAAAUGAGUGCUCAAACAUCAAUUUCUUUGUACAGAUAUGCACUAAUGGUAGUAUACAUUAUAUUAGUGGUGCAGCUAGCAAAGGUGUUCUAACUUAUUAACAUGUCUUAACAGCCCAUUUGGUCAAAGGAUGUUAAUGGCGCCAGAGAGGAAAUAUUUCAGUUUCUUCGAUUCGAGAACAACUUGAAGGUCAUCUAUAUUGAUGGUUGGGAUGGAUUCGGGGCGUCCGCCAUUCUUAGAUCCAUAGCAGAAGUGCUCCCAUCUAGGAGAACCACUGCAGAACUAUGCUUUGAUAGAAUAAUUUAUGUAGAUUGCUCUGAGUGGAAAAAUAGAAGAGCAGUGCAGAGGACAAUUGCAGAGGAACUGCAACUUGACCACUCAGUGAUGGCCAUUCUAGAUGAGCAGGAUGAAGAGGAUGAUUUUAACAAAGUUGAUGAAAGCUCAAGGAAUGAGAUACACAAUGUCGGGAAAGUGAUUAAUCAAACCCUGAGGGGCACCAAGUUGAUGAUGAUUUUUCUUAAUGGAAGUGAUGAAGAGGUUGACGUAAGCACCUUUGGCAUUCCUCUUGCAAUAUUUGACAACAAUAUAAUAAUAUGGACCUUUAGCAGAAGGAAUCACGUCCGUUCAAAGGAUGCACUAAGAUAUACUCAUGCUUUCUCUCUUUUCUAUCAUUCUAUCAAAGAAUUUUCAUGGCGGGAGUUUCUUCGACUGUUGUCUCAACAAGCUAUUGCCAUAGUUGCUCGCAAUCCAUUUGUGCCAGAGAUCGACCCAACAAUGGUAGCAGAUUGUUGUCUCUAUGAGUUAUUCCUGCAUUAUAAUUUCCACACUGUCACUGAGUUUAAUUGGGUUGGUCAUGCUUCCAACUUUUGGAUAUGUGAUGCGAUCAUACAAGGGGACAGGGCAAUGGAUAUUAGUAAUCUGUUGCAUAGAGAGAUAAAUUGGGUGUGUGAUUCCUCUUUGCCUGAUGGUGUGCUUGAAGAGUUCAUGCGAGAUUUCGUGACUCCUUUUUGGCUAGUUACAGAUGACUAUGCCUAUGAAGAAGGUCCAUACCGUUGGAUAUCAAUCACAUCAAGCAAAAUGGAUUUGCAAACUAUAUUGAUGCGCAAAGAACAAAGCAAUAUGGAAAUACAGGGCUUGCGAAAUAUACCUGUAGAGACAUCAUCUUUCUUCUUGGCAUUUGAAAGUUCUAGUCAACAACGAUGUUUACCAGAUGGCUUGUUUGAAUGUGCCAACAAGCUUGGUGUGCUAAUUCUCAGUUGCUGUGCCUUCGAUUUUGCAUCACCCCCUUUCCAGAAGUGUCAGAGCCUAAGAUUUCUUGGAUUGAACCAUUGUACAAAUAGUAAAUCAGGUGAAGGAGAGGAUAAUGCAGAGUGGACAUACUUAUGUAACGUAUCGGUGUUGGACCUACGUUACACAGAAUGGAAUGAAAUCUUAUGUGAAGAAAAGAUGGAUCUCAUGACUAACAUCACAGAGCUAAAUAUAGAGGGAGUCUGGAGUGAGCAGUGCGUUGGUAACCUACAAGGUCGACUACCUAACCUCCAGAGGCUACGGAUAACCAAACCAAUAUAUAAGGGGAAGCCAGCAGAGGAUUUUGAUAACUCUUUUGUAGAUAAGACAAGUAUGAAAAUACUCGACUUGUCAGGGAACAGUGACAUGGAAAUUCUUCCAGCAAGCAUAUCGAAGGCAAGUAGCCUUCAGUUGCUUGUACUUGAUGGUUGCAAUGGACUGGAAAGCGUUGGCGGGCUUCCUUCCUCCCUUGAAUCCUUUAGCUUUAAUGGACAUGGGCCAGCUUCUCAAUGGACACAAACUGUUGCGCUACCUCCGGAACAAUUCCGCCCGUCCACAAUUGAAGACUCUAACAUGGAUAUUAGAGUGUCUGAGAUCUCCUUAGCAGGCUGCACACAGUUGAAGAACCUGUUUUUGUGUUGGUUACCCAACCUUGUGGAAUUGGACCUCUCUGGAAUUGCAAUCAAGAUAUUUGACUUGAAUACUAUGGUGGUGCAAGUCCCGAAGCUCAAGAGAGUAUUUCUAAUAGGAUGCACGCGACUUCGUGCAAUAAUUCCGUUGUUGCACGAGAGUGGCUCUGAGAUAAAAAAAGAAUUGGAGUUAUUGUGCAUAGACACCCGAGUUGGAACAGUGUGUUCUCGGCCAUCCAUCAACUGGACCAAAUCCUUCAAGUUCGAAUUGCAUGUUGUUGCCGCGGAUGCGAGGCUUACUCGCUCUGUGAAGGGUCUCUUGUUGCCUUAUGUACAAAAAGGCAUAAUGAAGGAUGUUUCUUGUAAUAUCCAUGUCACCUCCUCAGCUGUGCACACUGAAGUUGUUCAAUUUGAAGCAACCAGCCCAAGUGAUCAAGAGAGUUUGCAACAGCUUAUUCCAGCAGGCCCGUAUAGUGAUGUCCUUGGCAUGGUUGGCAAUCCCCCAAUGCAGGAUUUCCCGCAAGCUCCGACGACUACAAAGCGGGACCAUCAUAUAGAGAUUGCUAAAGGGAGCAGCUAUGUGGAGAGCGAACUGCUAGGAGAUCUAGGUUAUUUGGUGGGAACUAGUGCUGAAUCACUGCAUGUACACGACGUAUCGAUACGUGCAAUUGCUCUUUAUGAGUUUUAUCAGUUAAACCUUAGGUGGUGCUGCGUGGAGAGGUGCCCAGAGUUGGAUGUCGUCUUCCCUUCGGUAUCGACUGGAUUUAAUGUACUGCAGACCUUCUGGGCGUCGGAUCUCCUAACAGCCCGCUGGAUUUGGGGUAAAGCUUCAUACAAGGGUUUCUUUUCCCACACCACCAAUACCUUUCCAAAUUUACAGCACCUCCACCUGCGCUCCUGCCCUCGUCUCCAGUUUGUGCUCCCGCUGUACGGCUUGUCCUUCCCCAGCUUGAAGACCCUCCACUUCAUCCACUGUGGCGACCUCGUGCACGUCUUCGAGCUAAACAUGGAUUACCCAGAGGAAGUAACCACCCUCAGUGUAAGAUUUCCAAAGCUGACCACCAUCCACCUGCACGACCUCCCGAAGCUGCAGCAGAUAUGUGAGAUCAAGAUGGUGGCGCCCGCACUCGAGAGUAUCAAGAUCAGGGGGUGCUGGAACCUGCGCCGGCUUCCAUCCGUGGGCGCCCGUGGCCAAGGCGAGAAGAAGCCGGCGGUUGAGAUCGAGAAGGACGUGUGGGACGCUCUUGAGUGGGACGACGACCACCGCCCCGACCACUUCGGAACGCCGGUCCACUCGCGCUACUACAAGGAGAAGCUGCCCAGGGUCUCCGUUCUGAGGUACGCUAUGUGCAUAUUACAACUGAGUCCAUCUUUGUACAAUUGUACUAGUUCCUGGUUGCAUUCAGUUACUCACCAUUUUGUUUCGCCGUCUCCCACAUCGCCUAGGUGAACUCCGCGCUGAUGUGUCAGUUUCUUCCGUCGCUACAUCAAAACGAUGGAUGGGUGCUCCUGCUUCUGCUGCUGGAUCGAGUGCUUGCUUUGCUUGUGUGCUUUGCUUGGAUUCAUAUUGUGUGGCGUUGUUGCCAAUGCCUGACGUUGGAGCUUAUGGUGGCUCUCACCUUGUGUUAUUCUGUAUUGUGGCUUUCAAAUAAGAGACGGAUAGGUCGGUGCCUGCAUACACUGACCUAACCGAUGUGCGCGCCUGUGUGCGGUUUGCGACUGCAGCGGCUAUGUGUGUGCAUCCGCCAGACUGCAUUUGUGUGUGUAGCUUUAAUGAGUGCUGCUUGCCUAUGUAGCUCUACAUGGCUAGCUGCUUGUGAGUGUGACUAUGCAUUUGAGAGUGUUUGCCAUGUAUUAUUAUCUGAACUUCUGAACCAAAAAGCGGCUCAGCUGGUUGUGUGUGCGCUUGUGCGUGCAUUGACCUGCUAGCUGCUUGUGUAUCUGUUUGCUAUACUUAUGAAAUUUUUUGAAAAAGCAGCAGCUAUCUGUGCUGGUUGUUGCAAUCGCCUGGCUCUCUGUGUGAAUAAUUGGCCCAUCUGUGAAAUCUGUGCAAGUCAAGCAUCCGAGUUAUGGCUAAUUUUUAUUUAUUUCUGAGAAUUGAAAUAGUGGUUUAAAGUAUCGCACCGACACUACUGCAGAUUAUAGUGCUCAUGUGUUUCAAUGAUCUUACUGCUAUUUUUAAACACAAGCUAUUUUUUGGGAGAAGCUCAUUUGACUACGGUUGCAGUUAACUCAACUGAUAGUAAUACACCAUGCUAGUAACUAGCACAGUUCAUCUAAAAAAAGUAAUUAACUAGCACAAUUCAGCAAUAUGGCAACUAUUUACUACUAGGACGUUCAGUCCGAAGGACCGUCAGGUACCUGAUCGGAGCACAUAACCCAUCAGGGCAACUACCCAAAGGAAACAAAGUUGGCGGCACACUCUGAUCUCGCAGACAUCCUACUUCAACCUUGCGGCG